This 64-nucleotide transfer RNA is filed under the name Chalcosoma caucasus caucasus. RNAcentral's name for it is "tRNA-Gly". It matches the Rfam family "tRNA". From Rfam's summary of the family: Transfer RNA (tRNA) molecules are approximately 80 nucleotides in length. Their secondary structure includes four short double-helical elements and three loops (D, anti-codon, and T loops). Lineage: Eukaryota; Metazoa; Arthropoda; Insecta; Coleoptera; Scarabaeidae. The record is from RNAcentral.
ACUUAUAUAGUAUAAUAAUUAUAUUUGACUUCCAAUCAAAAGAUCUAAUUUCCUAGUAUAAGUA